UCUCCGUUGGUGAACCAGCGGAGGGAUCAUUAUAGAGUUUUCUAAACUCCCAACCCUUUGUCGAACUUACCUUGUUGCCUCGGGGCGCGCCUUCGCGGACGGCCCCAGAGGACCAACCAUCAAAACCCUGCGUCCCUGCGUCGGAGUACCUUUGAUAAAUCAAUCAAAACUUUCAACAACGGAUCUCUUGGUUCUGGCAUCGAUGAAGAACGCAGC
RNAcentral lists this unclassified non-coding RNA (216 nucleotides) under uncultured fungus. RNAcentral describes it as "sequence contains ITS1, 5.8S rRNA gene". The stretch from base 168 to 216 matches the Rfam family "5.8S ribosomal RNA", at positions 1 to 49 of the family's 154-position model. Lineage: Eukaryota; Fungi. The record is from RNAcentral.